Molecule: unclassified non-coding RNA, 337 nt
Filed under: soil metagenome
Description: partial contains 5.8S ribosomal RNA, internal transcribed spacer 2, and large subunit ribosomal RNA
Rfam family: 5.8S ribosomal RNA (bases 1-120)
Source: RNAcentral
GAUGAAGAACGCAGCGAAAUGCGAUACGUAGUGUGAAUUGCAGAAUUCAGUGAAUCAUCGAAUCUUUGAACGCACAUUGCACCUCUCGGUAUUCCGGGAGGUAUGCCUGUUCGAGCGUCAUUUGUACCCUCAAGCUCUGCUUGGUGUUGGGUGUUUGUCUCGCCUCUGCGCGUAGACUCGCCUCAAAACAAUUGGCAGCCGGCGUAUUGAUUUCGGAGCGCAGUACAUCUCGCGCUUUGCACUCAUAACGACGACGUCCAAAAGUACAUUUUUACACUCUUGACCUCGGAUCAGGUAGGGAUACCCGCUGAACUUAAGCAUAUCAAUAAGCGGAGGA